GAUGAACGCUGGCGGCGUGCCUAAUACAUGCAAGUCGAGCGAACAGAUAAGGAGCUUGCUCCUUUGACGUUAGCGGCGGACGGGUGAGUAACACGUGGGUAACCUACCUAUAAGACUGGAAUAACUCCGGGAAACCGGGGCUAAUGCCGGAUAACAUUUAGAACCGCAUGGUUCUAAAGUGAAAGAUGGUUUUGCUAUCACUUAUAGAUGGACCCGCGCCGUAUUAGCUAGUUGGUAAGGUAACGGCUUACCAAGGCAACGAUACGUAGCCGACCUGAGAGGAUGAUCAGCCACACUGGAACUGAGACACGGUCCAGACUCCUACGGGAGGCAGCAGUAGGGAAUCUUCCGCAAUGGGCGAAAGCCUGACGGAGCAACGCCGCGUGAGUGAUGAAGGUCUUCGGAUCGUAAAACUCUGUUAUUAGGGAAGAACAAAUGUGUAAGUAACUGUGCACGUCUUGACGGUACCUAAUCAGAAAGCCACGGCUAACUACGUG
This 497-nucleotide ribosomal RNA is filed under the name uncultured bacterium. RNAcentral describes it as "partial 16S ribosomal RNA". It matches the Rfam family "Bacterial small subunit ribosomal RNA", at positions 28 to 507 of the family's 1533-position model. The record is from RNAcentral.